GAGUACAUCGGAUUCUUACGAAAUUUAAGCCCAACCCGGAAUAAGAGGAUGAGUGAUACACGGACUUCUUCUGCUACUUAGGAAGUGAAGCGGACGUAGAUCGAGUCAAGAGCAAGGAUUGCACGGAUAGAUCGAUCAUAUAGUUGAAAUAUAUAACGUCUAGAAAUGUAAAUUUUAGUAUGAAUGUUGUGAAUUAUUUUAUAGAACGU
Molecule: long non-coding RNA, 209 nt
Filed under: Helianthus annuus (common sunflower)
Lineage: Eukaryota; Viridiplantae; Streptophyta; Magnoliopsida; Asterales; Asteraceae
Description: hypothetical non coding rna
Source: RNAcentral